AUAUGAUAUUUAAAUAUGUCGCUUGUAUUGGUGGAGGCAGCCAAUGAGCGUGCACGACUUGACUCGACAGAGCACCUACAGCAACCGUCGCUCACAGGGCUAUCAGACAGUCCAGGCUCAGGGAUCGAAACUAUAAUAGAUGCUGGCGAUACGUCGCUGUUGGAAUCACAGAAUGACAUGGCAGAGACGACAACACCGCCACACUUCCCCGAGCUAACUUUCCCCCCUCUACCCGGUCCUCGCAAUCAAGAUGGCAGAGUUAAUCGUGGCUACACAUCGCCUGAUAUUGAACUCCAAAAUUAUAGCUUCUGUUCUGAUGAAAAAAACAGCCCUACAGCGUGUGACACCGCUUGCCGUGUAGCUCUUGCGCCCCGCACUCACAGUACUAUGAAAACAAAUCCACGCCCGCGCGCUCAGAUGGAACGUAUAUUGCCGCUAAAUGGCGGGCGAGGAGAGGAGGAUGGUAGAUCGCAAAGCGAGCCUGAGUGUAGUAGAGCUGAGGACAUUAAACACAAACUGAAAGAGUCGGCUAUUUCGGAUAUUGGUGCUGACUACAUGAGGGUUAACGGAGCCAUCACCUCUUUCAAACAACUGCAGAAACCUACUUCAAUGCAGUCUUUGCCGACAUCGUCCAAAAUGAGCUAUGCCUCGACAGAAGAGGCAGGUGUGGCUCUCGUUGGCAUUACGGAUUAUCAGAAAUAUUCCGAGGCAGAGCGAACUCAUCACAAAGCCAGGCAGAAAAAUGUUGGAUAUAGACUUGGGAAGAGGAAGGCGUUGUAUGAAAAGAGGAAAAAAAUAUCAGAUUAUUGUCUUGUGUUCGGAAUGUUCGGGAUUAUUACCAUGAUUCUCGAAACGGAACUAGUAAUGGCUGAUGUGUAUUCCAAGGGAACCUUCUACUCCAUUGCCAUGAAAUCCCUCAUUUCCAUAUCAACUGUGAUAUUAUUGGGUCUGAUUCUCGCCUAUCAUGCACUUGAAAUCCAGGAUACAGGAACAGAGUUAUUUGCUGUGGACAAUUGUGUUGAGGAUUGGAGAAUAGCAAUUUCCUGGAGGAGAACAAUCCAGCUUACAGUGGAAAUUGUCAUAUGUGCAGUGCAUCCCAUUCCAGGCAACUUUACCUUUGUAUGGACAACGCCAAAAACUGAUCAUCGUGACGCCCAGCACACUGUGGUUCCAGUUGAUAUUGUGCUCUCUAUUCCAAUGUACCUUCGUCUAUACCUUAUUUGUAGAGUUAUGUUGUUGCACAGCAAGCUGUUUACAGAUGCAUCUUCUCGAAGCAUAGGAGCUUUGAAUAGGAUUAAUUUUGAUACCAAGUUUGUGUUAAAGACAUGUAUGACCAUAUGUCCUGGAACUGUACUUCUUGUAUUUAUGCUGUCACUAUGGAUAAUAGCAAGCUGGCUUCUUCGAGCUUGUGAAAGGCACCAUGAUGACAAUCAUGCCAAUAUUUUGAACUCCAUGUGGAUGAUUGCAAUCACCUUCCUUUCCAUCGGUUAUGGAGACAUUGUUCCCAAUACUUACUGUGGACGGGGAAUUGCCAUAGCAACUGGUGUCAUGGGUGCUGGAUGCACAGCACUUGUCGUUGCUGUCAUUGCAAGAAAGCUUGAACUGAGCCGAGCAGAGAAACAUGUUCAUAAUUUCAUGAUGGAUACUCAGCUUACAAAGAGGCUAAAGAAUGCUGCAGCCAAUGUACUUCGUGAAACCUGGUUAAUAUACAAAUACACCAAAUUGGUGAAAAAGGUGAAUGGCAGUCGUGUGAGGUCGCAUCAAAGAAAGUUUCUCCAGGCAAUUCACAGACACAGACACACAUCCAGGACUUGGUAGCAGACAUGCACAGCAAUCAGGGAACUCUAGAAAAACGUGUGAACAAGAUUGAAGAAAAGUUAGCGUCAAUGCAGUCACAAUUGGAAGGACUUCCUAAAGUAAUUGCCCAAAGCCUUAUUGCCCAACAGCAAGAGCAGCAAGACCAACGGUGUUUACCUGCAGAUUGUGGGGCUACUGUCCGUCGUUUUUCACCACCG
Molecule: unclassified non-coding RNA, 2015 nt
Filed under: Haliotis rubra (blacklip abalone)
Lineage: Eukaryota; Metazoa; Mollusca; Gastropoda; Lepetellida; Haliotidae
Description: small conductance calcium-activated potassium channel protein 2-like, transcript variant X1
Source: RNAcentral